RNAcentral lists this ribosomal RNA (252 nucleotides) under uncultured bacterium. RNAcentral describes it as "partial 16S ribosomal RNA". It matches the Rfam family "Bacterial small subunit ribosomal RNA", at positions 524 to 776 of the family's 1533-position model. The record is from RNAcentral.
UACGUAGGGGGCAAGCGUUGUCCGGAAUUAUUGGGCGUAAAGCGCGCGCAGGCGGUCAUUUAAGUCUGGUGUUUAAGGCCAAGGCUCAACCUUGGUUCGCACUGGAAACUGGGUGACUUGAGUGCAGAAGAGGAGAGUGGAAUUCCACGUGUAGCGGUGAAAUGCGCAGAUAUCGGGAGGAACACCAAUGGCGAAAGCAGGUAACUGGACUAUUACUGACACUAAACUGCGAAAGCUAGGGGAGCAAACAGG